Molecule: non-coding RNA, 28 nt
Filed under: Mus musculus (house mouse)
Lineage: Eukaryota; Metazoa; Chordata; Mammalia; Rodentia; Muridae
Source: RNAcentral
UGGUACCUUCGUUGGAUCCGCCUGCAGC